RNAcentral lists this ribosomal RNA (253 nucleotides) under uncultured bacterium. RNAcentral describes it as "partial 16S ribosomal RNA". It matches the Rfam family "Bacterial small subunit ribosomal RNA", at positions 524 to 776 of the family's 1533-position model. The record is from RNAcentral.
UACGUAGGUGGCAAGCGUUGUCCGGAAUUAUUGGGCGUAAAGCGCGCGCAGGCGGUCCUUUAAGUCUGAUGUGAAAGCCCACGGCUCAACCGUGGAGGGUCAUUGGAAACUGGGGGGCUUGAGUGCAGGAGAGAAAAGUGGAAUUCCACGUGUAGCGGUGAAAUGCGUAGAGAUGUGGAGGAACACCAGUGGCGAAGGCGACUUUUUGGCCUGUAACUGACGCUGAGGCGCGAAAGCGUGGGGAGCAAACAGG